Molecule: ribosomal RNA, 257 nt
Filed under: uncultured bacterium
Lineage: Bacteria
Description: partial 16S ribosomal RNA
Rfam family: Bacterial small subunit ribosomal RNA
Source: RNAcentral
UGAGCCCUACGGGGGGCAGCAGUGAGGAAUAUUGGUCAAUGGGCUUACGCCUGAACCAGCCAAGUCGCGUGAGGGAAUAAGGCCCUACGGGUCGUAAACCUCUUUUGCCGGGGAGCAAGGGCGGGGACGUGUCCCGGCCCGGAGAGUACCCGGAGAAAAAGCAUCGGCUAACUCCGUGCCAGCAGCCGCGGUAAUACGGAGGAUGCGAGCGUUAUCCGGAUUUAUUGGGUUUAAAGGGUGCGUAGGCGGGCUUUUAA